CUGUGCUCGCGGCUGCCUCCACCCUCACCACUCAGCUCGUCCCUCCCUCGCGCCAACCUCUGUGCUAUUGUCCCACGAGUGGAGACGGUUUCAGCACCGGGACAGAUCCGCCACCGUCUCAUGGCAACAUGGCGACAGAGUUUCAUAACCUUCAGGAUCUAAGGCAUACUGCCUCUUUGGCCACCAAGGUGUUCAUUCAGAGGGACUACAGCGAAGGCACUGUCUGCAAGUUCCAGACCAAAUUUCCUGCUGAGCUGGACAGCAGGAUCGAGCGGACACUGUUUGAGGACACUAUAAAGACACUUAAUAACUACUAUGCAGAAGCGGAGAAGAUUGGUGGACGUUCUUACCUGGAGGGCUGUCUGGCCUGUGCCUCAGCUUACAUCAUCUUCCUCUGCAUGGAGACACGCUAUGAAAAGGUCCUGAAGAAGAUCUCCACAUACAUUCAGGAGCAGAAUGAGAAGAUCUACGCUCCCCGGGGCCUACUCAUUACAGACCCCAUUGAGAGAGGCAUGAGAGUGAUAGAAAUCUCCAUCUUUGAAGACCGCAGCUCCAGUGGCUCCAGCUCCAGUGGUAGCUCCACGUCCAGCAGCAGUGCUCGGUGACUGGAGGAGCAGCACCAGGGGUACGGGUAUCGGGAAGCCAGGGGGCUCCCCAAGAUCCGCAUGUUGAAACAUGAGAGCACCAGAUUCUGAAUGGAGAGGAAUUUUCACCUGGCUAUCCUAAAACCCCUUCUGAUCUUUCCUAUGGUUGGUUGCCUUUUUUUAUCCCCCCAAGACUCCUCAGUAAGCCAGUGCUGGUCUCUGAGCUGGCCAUCAGAUCAGUAGUGCUCUAGUGCGCACCUCCUUGUGCCUACUGCCUUCAUGUUUCAUCGCUGUGGGGAUACCCAACCUGGUGCUGACCAACUGGAAAAUCCUGACAGCCAGAGAGCCGUCUGUAAAUUGUACAUGACUUGCACUAUAGAUGCAUGAGAUUUGUUCUGUUUUUGUGUGGCCAAAAAGUAGAACGUCAGUCUCCAAGUGGAAACUCUGUAUUGGCGUUCAGUUAUGAAAGGCCCUUGAGUUUAAUAUAAAGAUUGUGUGUUCAUGUAUGCAUGUAUAAAGUGAGAGUGUGGUCAUGGACAUAUAUAGGUACAGUGUAUAUAGACAUACAGGGAUAUUUCAGAUUUAUACAAUGUAUAGGGGGUAGGUGAGAGUUUUUAAGCGUGCAUGGUUUACGAUUUUUUUUUUUACUGUGACUUACUGUAAGAAAAUGCUAACUUGAAUUACUGAAUUACAUAAAAAUGGACUGGUGAAAUGAAAGCUAAUGCCAGUUGUAUUUGUGUUAUCGUUGAUAUAAGACAGUUAGCUAUAAUGGAUUAGACAAGGCUGUGACAUUGCAUGUUUUGGAGUGGCUUAUGGUUGGCUGAGACUGACUCUCACCAUGGAGAUUGGUGUCCCUCUAGCAGAACAUAUGUAAAACUGUUUCCUACAAAAAACAUGACAUAAUAAUGCAACACACAUUAAGACGACAUAUGUUACCAUAUGUUUGUAUAUACAAGCUUUCUAUUUUGGUCAGGAAUGUAUCAUUCCUCAUGUGUAGAGCACAGUCAAGCCAAUUCAAUGAAGCAUCCUACACUUUUUGGCACAUUCACUGCUCGGGUAAAGUUUAGUUAGACUAAAUAGAAACGUGGAGGAAAAGUCUGGUCAAAGUUUACUUACUACCAUUGUAGCCUGUAUGAUGUUAUGUGUAAACAGUCUUAUUUUUGUAUAGAUAAUUAUUUUCUGUCUUCGUAUCAGACAGGAGUAUAGUAUAGACUCUCAAAACAUACUGACACUAUCAGAUUAUUCUAAUAUAUGAAAUGAGCUAGUGGCUCAUUACUGCUGCAAGGCCAUUGACAAAUUUGUGACAUUUUUCACAUACAUUUAUUAUUGUUGUUUGCGUAUAAUU
RNA transcript from Colossoma macropomum (tambaqui), 1929 nucleotides. It is a transcript of the gene named golgin A7 family, member Bb, with no coding region annotated. The record is from RefSeq and is a predicted model, not a curated record. NCBI's taxonomy places the organism in Eukaryota, Metazoa, Chordata, Actinopteri, Characiformes, Serrasalmidae. The transcript has 6 exons.